Molecule: ribosomal RNA, 386 nt
Filed under: uncultured archaeon
Lineage: Archaea
Description: bacterial SSU rRNA
Rfam family: Archaeal small subunit ribosomal RNA
Source: RNAcentral
UCAGCCGCCGCGGUAAUACCAGCACCUCGAGUGGUCAGGACGUUUAUUGGGCCUAAAGCAUCCGUAGCCGGCUUUGCAAGUCUUCGGUUAAAUCCACCUGCUCAACAGAUGGGCUGCUGGAGAUACUACAAAGCUAGGGAGUGGGAGAGGCAGACGGUAUUCAGUGGGUAGGGGUAAAAUCCUCUGAUCCAUUGAGGACCACCAGUGGCGAAGGCGGUCUGCCAGAACACGUUCGACGGUGAGGGAUGAAAGCUGGGGGAGCAAACCGGAUUAGAUACCCGGGUAGUCCCAGCUGUAAACGAUGCAAACUCGGUGAUGCAUUGGCUUAUGGCCAAUGCAGUGCCGCAGGGAAGCCGUUAAGUUUGCCGCCUGGGAAGUACGGACGC